This 379-nucleotide unclassified non-coding RNA is filed under the name soil metagenome. RNAcentral's name for it is "partial contains 5.8S ribosomal RNA, internal transcribed spacer 2, and large subunit ribosomal RNA". The stretch from base 1 to 120 matches the Rfam family "5.8S ribosomal RNA", at positions 35 to 154 of the family's 154-position model. The record is from RNAcentral.
GAUGAAGAACGUAGCGAAAUGCGAUAAGUAAUGUGAAUUGCAGAAUUCAGUGAAUCAUCGAAUCUUUGAACGCACCUUGCACCCUUUGGCAUUCUGAAGGGUAUGCUCGUUUGAGUGUCAUUGUACUCUCACACUCCCGAUCUUUGCAUUGGGAGCAGUGGACUUGGGUUUGCUGCUUCACCGUCGCUUACCUCAAAUAGGUUAGUGCAACUCUUGGUUGGACAUAGUACGGCGUGAUAAGUGUUCUUCGCCGGUGCCUCGCAAAGAGGGUGGCCGAUCGGGAUGUUGUGCUCCAAACCGUCUUCGGACAAUCUCUGACGACUUGACCUCAAAUCGAGUAAGACUACCCGCUGAACUUAAGCAUAUCAAAAGCGGAGGA